GCAGUGGUGGUUCAGUGAUGGAAUUCUCGCCUUCCAUCCGGGAGACCCCGGUUCAAUUCCUGGCCAGUGCA
RNAcentral lists this transfer RNA (71 nucleotides) under Loxodonta africana (African savanna elephant). It matches the Rfam family "tRNA". From Rfam's summary of the family: Transfer RNA (tRNA) molecules are approximately 80 nucleotides in length. Their secondary structure includes four short double-helical elements and three loops (D, anti-codon, and T loops). Lineage: Eukaryota; Metazoa; Chordata; Mammalia; Proboscidea; Elephantidae. The record is from Rfam by way of RNAcentral.